UACAGAGGUCUCAAGCGUUGUUCGGAUUCAUUGGGCGUAAAGGGUGCGUAGGUGGCGCCGUAAGUCAGGUGUGAAAUUUCGGAGCUUAACUCCGAAACUGCAUUUGAUACUGCGGUGCUUGAGGACUGGGGAGGAGACUGGAAUUUACGGUGUAGCAGUGAAAUGCGUAGAGAUCGUAAGGAAGACCAGUGGCGAAGGCGGGUCUCUGGACAGUUCCUGACACUGAGGCACGAAGGCCAGGGGAGCAAACGGG
RNAcentral lists this ribosomal RNA (253 nucleotides) under uncultured bacterium. RNAcentral describes it as "partial 16S ribosomal RNA". It matches the Rfam family "Bacterial small subunit ribosomal RNA", at positions 524 to 776 of the family's 1533-position model. The record is from RNAcentral.